RNAcentral lists this long non-coding RNA (6087 nucleotides) under Homo sapiens (human). Its description in RNAcentral is "long non-coding RNA NONHSAT041110.2". The stretch from base 266 to 347 matches the Rfam family "Small nucleolar RNA SNORD115". The record is from RNAcentral. Lineage: Eukaryota; Metazoa; Chordata; Mammalia; Primates; Hominidae.
CCAUGGAGGGGGAGCAAGCGUGAGCUGGCACCCAACACCCCUUUCUCCACAUGGAGGGUGGUCACAUGUUCUCCACCUGUUCCCCUAGAUGGUGAGACUUCUGUUGGGCUUGCUUUUCCUGGGCCAGUGUCCAUCAGCCAGGUGCUCAGCCAUCGGUGCGCUGAAGCUCCAGCCCUUCCUGGUGCCCUGAUCUCCUGCACUGAGCUGUGAUGAGUACAUCCGGGUUCCACUGGAUGCAUGUGCGGGAAGGGGGGUGCCCUGGGUUGGGUCAGUGAUGAGAACCUUAUAUUGUCCUGAAGAGAGGUGAUGACUUAAAAAUCAUGCUCAAUAGGAUUACGCUGAGGCCCAGCCUGGGGGAGAAUUUUGGAAAAGGAUGCUGGGAUCCCAGGGUCCCCAACAGGGCCACUGUAUUUUGGACCUGGGACCUGGUGGCUCUGAAGGGCAUCUGGAGGUGGCCCAACCUGUCUCUGCACUCUAGUUUCCCUGUGUGGGCUUGGUGUCGGUGCUCCAGUUCCCUGGGGGCAGGGAAUGUUGAUGGCUCCUUCCUGAGUCCCUGUUCUCGCCUUUGUCUUUCAGUGAGCUCUUUCACCUAGGAGGGCCCCUUGGCAUUGACUGGCAUAGAUGGUGACCCUGAAGAAAGACUUCAGUUGGGCCUGAAGGCCCCGGGCCAGUGUCCAUCAUCCAGGUGCUCAGCUCCCAGUGCACUGAAGCUCAGACCCUUCCUGGUUCCCUGGUCUCUUGCACUGAGCUCUGAUGGUGAGACUUGAGGAAGACUUCCACUGGGCCUGCUUUUCCUGAGCCAGUGCCCAUCACCCAGGUGCUCAGUCCCUGGUGCACUGAAGCUCCAGCCCUUCCUGGCGCCCUGGUCUCCUGAACUGAGCUGUGUGAGCUCUUCUGCCAAGCGGUUCCCCUGGCAUUGACCAACAUAGAUGGUGAGCCUGGAGGAAGACUUGCGUUGGGCCCAAAGGCCCUAGACCAGUGUCUGUCAGCCAGGUUCCCAACCCCCGAUGCGCUGAAGCUCAAGCCUUUCCUGGCACCCUGGUCUCCUGCACUGAGCUGUGUGAGCUCUUCUGCCCAGGCGGGCCCCCUGGAAUUGAUGGGUAUAGAUGGUGACCCCGGAGGAAAAUUUGUGUUGGGCCCACUAUCCCUGGGCCAAUGUCAGUCAGCUAGGCACCCAGCCCCCAGUGCGCUGAAGCUCAGGACCUUCCUAGUGCCCUCGGCUCCUGCACUGAGCUCUGAUGGUAAGCCUGGAGGAAGACUUGUGUUGGGCCCACAGGCCCCAGGCCAAUGUCUGUCAGCCAGGUGCUCAGCCUCUGGUGCGCUGAAACUCUGACCCUUCCUGGCACACUGGUCUCCUGCACUGAGCUGGGUUUUCCACCUAGGAGGUCCACCUGGCAUUGACUGACAUAGAUGGUGAGACUUCUGUCGGCCUCGCUUUUCCUGGGCCAGUGUCCAUCAGCCAGGUGCUCAGCCCCAGUGCACUGAAGCUCCAGCCCUUCCUGGCGCCCUGGACUGAGCUGUGUGAGCUCUUCUGCCAAGGGGGUCCUCCUGGCAUUGACCAACAUAGGUGGUGAGCCUGGAGGAAGACUUGCAUUGGGCCCAAUGGCCCUGGACCAGUGUCUGUCAGCCAGGUUCCCAGCCCCCGAUGCGCUGAAGCUCAAGCCUUUCCUGGCACCCUGGUCUCCUGCACUGAGCUGUGUGAGCUCUUCGGCCCAAGUGGUCCCCCCGGCCUUAAGCGGCAUAGAUGGUGAGCCUGGAGGAAGACUCGUGUUGGGCCCACAGGCCCCAGGCCAGUGUACGUCAGCCAGGUGCUCAGCCCAUGGUGUGCUGAAGCUCUGACCCUUCCUGACUCCGUGGUCUCCUGCACUGAGCUGUGAUGACCAUAUCCAGUGAGCUCUUCCAAACAGGUGGGCUCCCUAGCAUUGACCGACAGAGUGAGCUCUGCCACCCAGGACAUCCCCCUGGCAUUGACUGGCAUAGUGAGCUUUUCCACCCAGGUGGGCCCCCUGGCAUUGACCGACAUAGAUGAUGAGACUGGAGGAAGACUUCCAUUGGGCCCACUUUUCCUGGGCCAGUGUCCAUCAGCCAGGUGCUCAGCCCCUGGUGUACUGAAGCUCCAGCCUUUCCUGGUGCCCCAGUCUUCUGCACUAAGCUGUGUGAGCUCUUCCACCCAGGAGGGCCCCUUGGCAUUGACUGGCAUAGAUGGUGAGACGGGAGGAAGACUUGUGUUGGGCCUGCUGUUCCUGGGCCAGUGGCCAUCAGCCUGUUGCCCAGCCCCUGAGGCGCUGAAGCUCAGGCCCUUCCUCACACCCUGGUCUCCUGCACUAGCUGUGUGAGCUCUUCUGCCCAGGUGGGGCCCAUGGCCUUACACGACAUAGGAGCACGCAUUUCUUGAAGUCCUGCAAAGGUGAUGGUGGUCCAGACAGGAGAGGGUUCCUUCAGCCCAACAUAGCGCAGCUCCCAGCUGAAACUCGGAAGGCUGGUCAGGCCUCGAGGACUGCCCAGGCCACAUGAGGGUUUGGUGGCCGGGAGGGCCAAUGAUGCUCUGCGUCUGUGUUGGAUCAGUGUUCUUCAUGGAUUCCAUCACAUGGUGAGCCUUGAGGAAGACUUGUAUUGGGCCCCCACAGGCCCCAGGCCAGUGUCCGUCAGCCUGGUGCUCACCCCCAGUGUGCUGAAGCUCAGACCCUCCGUGGCACCCUGGUCUCCUGCACUGAGCUGUGUGAACUUUUCCUCCCAGAUGGGCCCCCUGGCAUUGACUGGCAUAGAUGGUGAGACCGGAGGAAGACUUGCAUUGGGCCUGUUGUUCCUGGGCCAGUGGCCAUCAGCCUGUUGCCCAGCCCCUGAUGCGCUGAAGCUCGGGCCCUUCCUCGCGCCCUGGUCUCCUGCACUGAGCUGUGUGAGCUCUUCUGCCCAGGUGAGGCCCAUGGCCUUAAGCGGCAUAGGAGCAUGCAUUUCGUGAAGCCCUGCAAAGGUGAUGGUGGUCCCGGCAGGAAAGGGUUCCUUCAGCCCAACAUAGAGCAGCUCCCAGCUGAAACUCAGCGGGCUGGUCAGGCCUCGAGGACUGCCCAGGCCACAUGAGAUGGUGAGUCUGGAGGAAGACUUGUGUUGGACCCCCACAGGCCCCAGGCCAGUGUCCAUCAGCCUGGUGCUAAUCCCCCAGUGCUCUGGAGUUUGGACCCUCCCUGGCACCCUGGUCUCCUGCACUGAGCUUGAGCUCUUCCACCCGGGCGGGCCCCCGGCAUUGACUGGCAUAGGUGGUGAGCCCGGAGGAGGACUUGCGUUCGGCCCGCUGGUCCCAGUGUGUCCGGAAUUGGUGGGUUCUUGGUCUCACUGACUUCAAGAAUGAAGCUGCGGACCCUCGCUAUGAUGAUAUGGAAGAAAAGCACUCUUUGGCCUGUUGUGACUGGGACAGUUGACAGCACCCAGGUGUCCUUUAAUGAAAAUGCUCUUGACACCAAUGCAUCCUAGCAUCACAGCUUCAGGAAGCCUUCUCAAGUGUGCAUGGGGAGUACUAUGUCUUUCAUCAAUAAUGAAAUCUUCUGAUUUGUAAGACAUGCUGCCAAGAGAUGUGCCAUUCUAUUAUAAAAGAUCAGUAGCUUCCUUUACCGACGUGUAUAUUCUAUCUAGAACAUUGAGCUAUGGAAGACUCCCACCUAAGGGAAUUAGUUUUACACCUUCAGAUAAAGACUGCUGAGAAGAGCACCCUCUGGUGUUGUCACAGAGGCAAGUGCUACCGCACAGGCAUGCUGCAGUGAAUUUAACUGAUCCUCUGUCCCUGCAACCGUUGUUUAAGGAUGCUAUUCUGAAAAGACUGUGGAGGAAGAAAACCCUUUACCCUGUUGUUCAGGGAGAAACUGACACCACUCAACUGCCUGGCACUGAAAAUGUGGCAUCCAGUCCACUUUACCAUCAGUGUUUAAGGAAACCAUCUCUGAUAAGGAUGACUGAGGAAGAGUACUCUUUGGCUUGUUGACACCAGCACAGCUGACACACCCAGAUAUCUGUUUGGUCUCCUGUGAACUUUCAACCAGGAUUUAAGGAUGCCACUCUGGUUAAAAGCUGAAACAACUUCAAGGAAACUUCAGGGAAAAGAGAAGGCCUGGAAUCUGAUCCUCCACUUCAGAGAACAGGGGUUGGAAUGCAGUGGCACCAUUUCGGCUCACUGCAACUUCUGCCUCCCGGGUUCAAACGAUUCUCCUACCUCAGCCUCCCAAGUAGCUGGGACUACAGAUGCACGCCACCACAACUGGCUAAUUUUUUUGUAUUUUUAGUAGAGAGGGGGUUUCACCACGUUGGCCAGGUUGGUCUCGAUCUCUUGACGUCGUGAUUCGCCCGCCUCAGCCUCCCAAAGUGCUGGGAUUACAGGCGUGAGCCACUGUGCCUGGCCUGUAGUGUUUAAUAUGUUAAACUGAAUUUUUCAGGUAUAUAGAUAAAAAUUAGUCAAAAAACACUGUAAUUAGAUAUGAACAUUCAAAAAGUUUGGUUUAUUGAUACAGGUGUUCUACUGAGAAAGACAUUUUUAUAAGAUUUCUUGUGAUAAAUGUGUCCCUGAAAAUACUCAAUCUUUUAAAUUUUGCACUUAAAAACCUCCUACGCAAAAACAGUUUGGUGCAGACUACUUAAUACUUAUGCAACUUUGUAAUUAGUGUUAACAAACAUAAUUAAUAAUCAAAAUAAGAGUACUAGUGUACAGAAAGCAUCUCUAAUUUCCAAUAUACAAUAGUAACUAUAGAACAAUGCAAAAACAAAAACAAAAAAACCAGUAACGAACAGGGAACAGUAACAGUAGCAUAUUAGAAAACAGGGAUAAGGAAAGGUCACAACUGCUAUAAUGCAGACUUGAGCAAAAAGAGGAGGGGGCAUAAAGACUGGAUAAAGCCACACAAUAAGCACCUCUAAGAUGGAGCACGUGGCCAAAAGAGCAGAUGAGCACAUUCCUCAUGUACCACAUCCCCCGCAGCUGGCUGCAUUCCACUGUGCCAGCACUCUACAUUCAGUUACUGGUACUCUCUGGUGCACACUUACUGGAGAACUGUGUACAAUAAAGUCAAUGCAGCUUCCACAUUAUACUGACACACUAUAUAUACAGACAACAUUUACCUAUUUUCCCAUAGUGUGUGAACUAAUUCAUGAAACAGAAUUAUACACUCUGAAGCAACAAAGUUGUGUAAAGUGACGAAAAUAAUUUUAUUGUGGAAACAGAGUAGAGGUUAUAACACAAUGCCACUUCACUAAUUCUUUCAAACUUGAUUCAAAUGAUGUUAGUGAAAGUUUUAGAGGCAAAUGCCUCUAAAAUUCUCUGACUUGUAUGUCAUAAAAAAAAAGCUUUCUCUCUUAAAAUACAAUUGCCUCUGGGUGUGUGUAGGGGUGAGAGUGGAGGGGCGCUAAGCCCUGGUAGUCAUUCAAAAAUUUGAUUACUUUGUUACUAAUUACCUUCACUGAAGAAAAUAACUUGGAGUUUUAGUAUUAGCGACAAGGUAAUCGAAUUCUGAAUUUUGGACGUAGGACCAUUUAGAAAACAAAAGACCUGAGUGAAGACUGUCAUUGGUAGGUCAUGAUCCUUGGCAGCAUGACUGUACCAAAUGUCCGGAAGGAGAGUGAGAAGCAUAUAUCUGAAGGAAACGUAGAAUUCUCACAUAACUAUCACAAAAUUUUGUCUUGCCUUCAAAAAUGGAAAAAACCCACUGUUUCCUCUUUCUGCUUCUUUCAUCACAUCAUCCUGAGGUUCCAGAACUCAUGCCAGAUACUUAGUCCAGUUAUUCUAUAACUUAAAUAGAUGUUGUGGCCUAGUUUUGGAGAUUCACUACCACUUAAUACAUUUUUCCUAAGAAUUUUAAAAAGUUCAAAUCAAUCUAUUAACAAAUGAACUUUUGGCAUAUGAUCUGCUUCUAAUUAGCAAUGAUUAGACCUGUAAAAUGUAGUUAUUAUUCCUGUCCGUUACCACAAUAAAAAAUUGGUUCUACGAUAUCAAAAUGUCUUUAUGUCACAGAAGAAAAAACAAAUAAAAACUAAUACAUUUAAAUCUCCCACAUGGUUUUCAGGCAACAAUUCUCAAUUGAAAAUAAAACAUCUUACCUUUAAAAUCAA